Molecule: unclassified non-coding RNA, 416 nt
Filed under: plant metagenome
Description: partial contains small subunit ribosomal RNA and internal transcribed spacer 1
Source: RNAcentral
AAGUCGUAACAAGGUUUCGUCCUCUGAAUUUACGGAGACCUUGCCCCCAAGUCAUGCUCGCAUGGCUGCACUACCACGGUGCUGGAACGCUAUCGCUAGCAACCAGCAGCUCCCGCGAGGGAGUCCACAGAUCAAAUGGUAGUGGCCUCGCCGUCCGGCGGGGUUCUAAUAUGACCGAAAUCUCCCCGCAAGGGGGUGCUAGCUACUGUCCGUAGGUGAACCUGCGGAAGGAUCAUUACUGAAGUACUGCGGCCUCCGGGCCGCGGAACUCCCACCCACUGUUUACUAUACUUUGUUGCUUCGGCAGGCCGGGCCUUCGGGCCCCACCGGCGCCCCCCCGGGGCGCUGGCCAGCGCCUGCCAGAGGACCUGUAAAAUCUGUGUUAGUGUCGUCUGAGUACUAUAUAAUAGUUAAAA